This 975-nucleotide ribosomal RNA is filed under the name uncultured bacterium. RNAcentral describes it as "bacterial SSU rRNA". It matches the Rfam family "Bacterial small subunit ribosomal RNA", at positions 173 to 1177 of the family's 1533-position model. The record is from RNAcentral.
GCCCACAGCUCGGCAUCGAGCAGAGGGAAAAGGAGCAAUCCGCUUUGAGAUGACCUCGCGUCCGAUUAGCUAGUUGGUGAGGUAAUGGCCCACCAAGGCAACGAUCGGUAGCCGGACUGAGAGGUUGAACGGCCACAUUGGGACUGAGACACGGCCCAGACUCCUACGGGAGGCAGCAGUGGGGAAUAUUGCACAAUGGGGGAAACCCUGAUGCAGCGACGCCGCGUGGAGGAAGAAGGUCUUCGGAUUGUAAACUCCUGUUGUUGAGGAAGAUAAUGACGGUACUCAACAAGGAAGUGACGGCUAACUACGUGCCAGCAGCCGCGGUAAAACGUAGGUCACAAGCGUUGUCCGGAAUUACUGGGUGUAAAGGGAGCGCAGGCGGGAAGACAAGUUGGAAGUGAAAUCUAUGGGCUCAACCCAUAAACUGCUUUCAAAACUGUUUUUCUUGAGUAGUGCAGAGGUAGGCGGAAUUCCCGGUGUAGCGGUGGAAUGCGUAGAUAUCGGGAGGAACACCAGUGGCGAAGGCGGCCUACUGGGCACCAACUGACGCUGAGGCUCGAAAGUGUGGGUAGCAAACAGGAUUAGAUACCCUGGUAGUCCACACCGUAAACGAUGAUUACUAGGUGUUGGAGGAUUGACCCCUUCAGUGCCGCAGUUAACACAAUAAGUAAUCCACCUGGGGAGUACGACCGCAAGGUUGAAACUCAAAGGAAUUGACGGGGGCCCGCACAAGCAGUGGAGUAUGUGGUUUAAUUCGACGCAACGCGAAGAACCUUACCAAGUCUUGACAUCCUGCGACGAUGCUGGAAACAGUAUUUUCCUUCGGGACGCAGAGACAGGUGGUGCAUGGUUGUCGUCAGCUCGUGUCGUGAGAUGUUGGGUUAAGUCCCGCAACGAGCGCAACCCUUACUAUCAGUUACUACGCAAGAGGACUCUGGCAGGACUGCCGUUGACAAAACGGAGGAAGGUGGG